AUUGAACGCUGGCGGCAGGCCUAACACAUGCAAGUCGAGCGGAUGAAGGGAGCUUGCUCCUGGAUUCAGCGGCGGACGGGUGAGUAAUGCCUAGGAAUCUGCCUGGUAGUGGGGGAUAACGUCCGGAAACGGGCGCUAAUACCGCAUACGUCCUGAGGGAGAAAGUGGGGGAUCUUCGGACCUCACGCUAUCAGAUGAGCCUAGGUCGGAUUAGCUAGUUGGUGGGGUAAAGGCCUACCAAGGCGACGAUCCGUAACUGGUCUGAGAGGAUGAUCAGUCACACUGGAACUGAGACACGGUCCAGACUCCUACGGGAGGCAGCAGUAGGGAAUAUUGGACAAUGGGCGAAAGCCUGAUCCAGCCAUGCCGCGUGUGUGAAGAAGGUCUUCGGAUUGUAAAGCACUUUAAGUUGGGAGGAAGGGAAGUAAGUUAAUACCUUGCUGUUUUGACGUUACCAACAGAAUAAGCACCGGCUAACUUCGUG
Molecule: ribosomal RNA, 484 nt
Filed under: uncultured bacterium
Lineage: Bacteria
Description: partial 16S ribosomal RNA
Rfam family: Bacterial small subunit ribosomal RNA
Source: RNAcentral